Molecule: unclassified non-coding RNA, 143 nt
Filed under: uncultured Lophiostoma
Lineage: Eukaryota; Fungi; Ascomycota; Dothideomycetes; Pleosporales; Lophiostomataceae
Description: sequence contains ITS1
Source: RNAcentral
CCGUUGGGGCCUCGGCCUCAAUCAAGAUACCACCCCUUGCAUUUUGAGUACCUUCUGUUUCCUCGGCGGGCCCGCCCGCCAACGGGGACCACACCAAACCCUUCUGUAGUUGCAGUGAAUGUCUGAAAACAAAAAAAAAAUCA